UACGGGGGGGAGCAAGCGUUGUUCGGAUUUACUGGGCGUAAAGGGCGCGUAGGCGGUCGUGACAAGUCACUUGUGAAAUCUCCGGGCUUAACUCGGAACGGUCAAGUGAUACUGUCGGGACUAGAGUUACAGAAGGGGCAACUGGAAUUCUCGGGUGUAGCGGUGAAAAUGCGUAGAUAUUAGGAAGAACACCAGUGGCGAAGGCGGCUCACUGGCUCGGUACUACGCUGAGGCGCGAAAAGCGUGG
Molecule: ribosomal RNA, 247 nt
Filed under: uncultured bacterium
Lineage: Bacteria
Description: partial 16S ribosomal RNA
Rfam family: Bacterial small subunit ribosomal RNA
Source: RNAcentral